GGGGCUGUAGCUCAGCAGGAUAGAGCGGUCGCCUCCUAAGCGACAGGUAGUGCGUUCGAGUCGCGCCAGUCCCG
RNAcentral lists this transfer RNA (74 nucleotides) under Cyanobacteria bacterium RM1_2_2. Its description in RNAcentral is "tRNA-Arg". It matches the Rfam family "tRNA". From Rfam's summary of the family: Transfer RNA (tRNA) molecules are approximately 80 nucleotides in length. Their secondary structure includes four short double-helical elements and three loops (D, anti-codon, and T loops). The record is from RNAcentral. Lineage: Bacteria; Bacillati; Cyanobacteriota.